AAGGAAAUAAUAAACCUCAAGAAAGACCUUGCACGAAGCCGGUGAGUGAGCCCAGCGCCAGUGACCCCUCGACAUCCUGAUGGUGCUAAGCAGGCUGUGGGGCGAUGCCUCAUCCUGAUUCAGUGGGUGAAAAUUGGUCGUGGAUACUUUACCAUGCUGAGGGAAGAGAGUGCAAUGAAGAAGCAGCAGCAACAACUUCAGAAACUAAAAGAGGAAGAAAUGAAUAAAUUCCAGCCAGCCACAAAGCUGCCAGAAAUCCAGUAUGGGGA
Molecule: long non-coding RNA, 269 nt
Filed under: Sus scrofa (pig)
Lineage: Eukaryota; Metazoa; Chordata; Mammalia; Artiodactyla; Suidae
Description: lncRNA (ENSSSCG00055026232.1)
Source: RNAcentral